RNAcentral lists this ribosomal RNA (347 nucleotides) under uncultured bacterium. RNAcentral describes it as "partial 16S ribosomal RNA". It matches the Rfam family "Bacterial small subunit ribosomal RNA", at positions 338 to 700 of the family's 1533-position model. The record is from RNAcentral.
CCUACGGGAGGCAGCAGUGGGGAAUAUUGGGCAAUGGGCGCAAGCCUGACCCAGCAACGCCGCGUGAAGGAAGAAGGCUUUCGGGUUGUAAACUUCUUUUGACAGGGAAGAGGAGAAGACGGUACCAGUCGAAUAAGCCAAGGCUAACUACGUGACAGCAGCCGCGGUAAUACGUAGGUGGCAAGCGUUGUCCGGAUUUACUGGGUGUAAAGGGCGUGUAGCCGGGUUGACCAGUCAGAUGGGAAAUCCUGCGGCUUAACCGCAGAACUGCCUUUGAAACUGUUGAUCUUGAGUACUGGAGAGGCAGGCGGCAUUCCUCGUGUAGCGGUGACAUUCGUAGAUCUUAG